Long non-coding RNA from Bactrocera neohumeralis, 2222 nucleotides. RefSeq lists it as uncharacterized. The transcript is spliced from 4 exons. Lineage: Eukaryota; Metazoa; Arthropoda; Insecta; Diptera; Tephritidae. The record is from RefSeq and is a predicted model, not a curated record.
UAAGGCUGCGUUCACAACAUACAAAGCUUACAUUAAUUUUUUGGAAAAAUGUUAUUUUGAAAAUGUAUUUUAUUUUUAUAAUAUACCACAACCGCUUAAUACUCGCUCUACUAAAUUCAUAUUACCGCAAUGAAAAUGCCAUCAGCAUAUACUGCAGACAAUAGGCACGGCAGUACAGUUAGUAUAACAUAAAUUUUAUCCUGUCGAGAUGCCCUGUUAUGAUAACAAAUGCCCACAUACAGAUUUGGCAAUGGCAGUAGUAAUUGAUAUCACAGUUAGUAUUCCAUAAGCUUUAGCAUGUCGGUAUGCCCCGUAAUACAUUGGGGAUGCAUUCGAAUGGCGUGUGCGCGAGUAAUACCACGUUCAGACUGACACUUAAUCACACGAUUUCGGGUCUUGAGUAGUUUAUCCCACUAAUCUUAUAAAUUUUCAAGAGUUCGCCAUACAAAAGUGAUAAUUCAAAACCACUGUGAUUAGUGAAGAGAUUAAUAGCGGGAUUCUGUAACCAGUGUCUAGGUCUAUUUGAGACAUUUUGAGGUAAAAUCUCAAUUUGUGACUAGUUAUUAUUCACUAAACAGUCUCUAGCGUUAGUCUCAAAAUGUUGCCUCAAAUUUGAGACCUGGUAGUUAGCAGGUCACAAAACCAAAAAGAACUCUUGUCUGCCAUUUUGAAUAUACUGAAUAGAGAUCAUCAUCAAGAAUGAUGGAAAGAAGAUUGCGCAAUGCGCAUGUUUGUUUUCAGUCAGCUGUUCUUGCUGACGUCACGGUUGACUUAUUAUUCGCCCGAGCUUUUGAAAGUGAAUUCGAUUGUGUUUUCAAGUGUUGUAUUAAUUGUGAAAUUUUUUAUUUUUUAAAAUGCGUUGCGCAGUGUUCGGGUGUAAUAUUAAUAACGGUAAAAAUUGUGCUACGAAUUGGAGAUUUUUUCAUUUCCCUAAAGAUAAAGCAGUAGUAAAACAAUGGAUUAAUUUUUGUCGUCGCACGGACAAAAUUAAUGUUAAAAAUGCAUGCAUUUGUGAAGUGCACUUCGCGCCAGAAGCCUUCGAAAGAAACUUGCAGUUUGAAAUGGUUCGCGGAAUCCAAUUAAGUUGCUACCUAGGGCUUUUCCCACGUUAACCACUGCUCCUGCAGAGGCUAAUGAACGGCAAAAAAGAAUGGAGUCUCGUUUCAAAAAAGAGAUGUUAACGACAAUUUUGAAGAAUACCGCCCCUGUUGAAGUAAUUCAAGAAAACGAGGUUGGAGAGGUACUUCAAACUGCAGGAGAGGAGGUCAUCGAUGAGAAAGACGAGAAAAUACUGCAUUUGGAAACAGAAAUACAAAGGCUGAAUAGUGUUGAUAGCACUUUGGUAAGUGCAAAAACGAGCAGUUAGCAGAAGUUGAACUCCUUAGGAUUUCCAUUAAAACCUCGGAAUUCCACAGUAAUAAUUUGGAGCAAAAACUUAGCUGCAUUUUUACUAACGGCUAGGUAAUAUUUUUCAACGUGUGUCAGUUGAUCUAAACUCCACUGACCCAACUGAAAAAAAUGUUGACUUGGAGAUUCUCAACAACGACGGACUUGAAAAUUUGGCAGGGCAACCCCGAAAUUUGUGCCAAUUCAGAAAAUUGUUCAUCUUAUACUUGGGUGUAUCACCUUUCCGCAGGAGGACUCUCAAAACCAACAGAUAUGUUGUGAUCCAUCAACAUGUGAGACCCUUGCAAGCAGUAUUUGACGAUGUAAAUGAUACUGAUUUGCAUAUAUGUACAAAUUACGCACAGAAGCACUUAGAUUUACGUAAUUUUUUAAAUUUUAGCUCGAAAGUAAAAUAAUUGUUUUUCAGAGCUAGAAUGUAUUUUAGGAUUCGUUCCUUAAAUAAAAACUUAAUUGAACAUACAUACGUAUAUACAUUGGAAGAAUAUUUAAAUCAAGAUGAUCCACCGUUUAAUGAUCCAAAAAUUCCAUCACACAUACAAGGAACGGAACGACAUGUUCAAUUGCUAGCUAGCGUUUCCAAACGGGUUAUACCGGAAAAUGUAGAGGCUGUUAUGGCGACGACAUUAGAGAGCCGUGCGAAAUUGCCCAGACUAGAAAGUAAAAAAGACUUCAAAUAAUUUUUUUUAAUUUCUUUUCUAUAACUCACUUAAAUUAAUUUUUUUCAUUUACAUAUGUUCUGACUAAAUAAAUUUCUUAAGAGAAAAAAUAGAUAUUAUUAUAAAUAAAUAAAUAAAAAUAAAGAAAAAACAUAGCAA